UCCCUGGUGGCUCAGACGGAAAAGCGUCUGUCCGCAAUACAGGAGAUCUGGGUUCAACCCCUAGAUUGGGAA
RNAcentral lists this transfer RNA (72 nucleotides) under Bos taurus (domestic cattle). It matches the Rfam family "tRNA". From Rfam's summary of the family: Transfer RNA (tRNA) molecules are approximately 80 nucleotides in length. Their secondary structure includes four short double-helical elements and three loops (D, anti-codon, and T loops). Lineage: Eukaryota; Metazoa; Chordata; Mammalia; Artiodactyla; Bovidae. The record is from Rfam by way of RNAcentral. RNAcentral also lists the same sequence under 1 other name.